GUCUCUUUGGUGUAUUUAUAUAUAAAGAGUUUAACCUGCCCGGUGAUUAUUAUUUAACGGCCGCAGUACUUUGACUGUGCGAAGGUAGCAUAAUUAUUUGCCUUAUAAUUGAAGGCUUGUAUGAAUGGUUUGACGAGAAUGAGUCUGUCUUAAUUUAAUUUUUUUGAAUUUAACUUCUAAGUGAAGAGGCUUUUAUUUAAUUGAUAGACAAGAAGACCCUGUCGAGCUUGAUUUUUUAUAUAUAAAUGCAUAUUUUUAUAUUAUUUAUAGAUUUUAGUUGGGGUGACUGAGGAAGUAUAUGAGUUUCCUUAUAAUUAUUUAAAUUUAUUGAUUUUGAUCCUUUUUAAUGAUUAGUAGAAUUAGUUACCGCAGGGAUAACAGCAUAAUCUUUUUUGAGAGUUCAUAUCGAAAAAUUGGUUUGUGACCUCGAUGUUGGAUUAAAAUUUCCUAAAGGUGCAGAAGUUUUUAAGGGUUAGUCUGUUCGACUAUUAAAAUUUU
This 498-nucleotide ribosomal RNA is filed under the name Annularia lima. RNAcentral's name for it is "partial 16S ribosomal RNA". It matches the Rfam family "Bacterial large subunit ribosomal RNA", at positions 1817 to 2597 of the family's 2925-position model. The record is from RNAcentral. Lineage: Eukaryota; Metazoa; Mollusca; Gastropoda; Littorinimorpha; Annulariidae.